RNAcentral lists this transfer RNA (71 nucleotides) under Breviceps mossambicus (Mozambique rain frog). RNAcentral describes it as "tRNA-Gln". It matches the Rfam family "tRNA". From Rfam's summary of the family: Transfer RNA (tRNA) molecules are approximately 80 nucleotides in length. The record is from RNAcentral. Lineage: Eukaryota; Metazoa; Chordata; Amphibia; Anura; Brevicipitidae.
UAGGAAAUAGCAUAGGGGGAGUGCGAAGGGUUUUGAUCCCUUAAGGAUGGGUUCAAGUCCCAUUUUUCUAG